GAUGAACGCUGGCGGCGUGCCUAAUACAUGCAAGUCGAGCGAACAGACGAGGAGCUUGCUCCUCUGACGUAGGCGGGGAACGUGUGAGGAGCACGGGGAUGACCUACCUAUAAGACUGGGAUAACUGCGGGAAACAGCAGCUAGAACCUUAUGCUAAUUUGAACCGAAUAGUCCAAGAGGCAAGGACGGUUUUGCUGACAGUAAUACAUUGAGCUGCGCCCCAUUAGCUAGUUGGAAAUGUAAGGGUUUACCAAGGCAACGAUGCCGAGCCGAACUGAGAGGGUGAUCGACUACACUGGAACUGAGAAACGGCCCCGACUCUGAGGGGAGGCCGCAGUAGGGAAUCCUACGCAAUGCGCGAAUGCCUGACGGAGCAAAGCCGCGUGAGUGAUGAAGGUCUUAGGAUCGUAAAAUGAAGUUAUAAGGGAAGAACAAAUGUGCAAGUAACAAGGAACAUCUUGACGGUACCUAAUCAGAAAGCCACGGCUAACUACGUG
RNAcentral lists this ribosomal RNA (497 nucleotides) under uncultured bacterium. RNAcentral's name for it is "partial 16S ribosomal RNA". It matches the Rfam family "Bacterial small subunit ribosomal RNA", at positions 28 to 507 of the family's 1533-position model. The record is from RNAcentral.